UACGUAGGUCCCGAGCGUUGUCCGGAUUUAUUGGGCGUAAAGCGAGCGCAGGUGGUUUAUUAAGUCUGGUGUAAAAGGCAGUGGCUCAACCAUUGUAUGCAUUGGAAACUGGUAGACUUGAGUGCAGGAGAGGAGAGUGGAAUUCCAUGUGUAGCGGUGAAAUGCGUAGAUAUAUGGAGGAGCACCGGUGGCGAAAGCGGCUCUCUGACCUGUAACUGACACUGAGGCUCGAAAGCGUGGGGAGCAAACAGG
This 252-nucleotide ribosomal RNA is filed under the name uncultured bacterium. RNAcentral describes it as "partial 16S ribosomal RNA". It matches the Rfam family "Bacterial small subunit ribosomal RNA", at positions 524 to 776 of the family's 1533-position model. The record is from RNAcentral.